RNAcentral lists this ribosomal RNA (826 nucleotides) under uncultured bacterium. RNAcentral describes it as "bacterial SSU rRNA". It matches the Rfam family "Bacterial small subunit ribosomal RNA", at positions 59 to 879 of the family's 1533-position model. The record is from RNAcentral.
CAGUCGAACGGAGAUUAUACGCAGAGGCGAUUUCGGUCAAAUCAUGUAAAAUCUUAGUGGCGGACGGGUGAGUAACGCGUGGGUAACCUGCCUUACACUGGGGGAUAACACUUAGAAAUAGGUGCUAAUACCGCAUAAGCGCACGAAGCCGCAUGGAUUUGUGUGAAAAACUCCGGUGGUGUAAGAUGGACCCGCGUCUGAUUAGCUUGUUGGCGGGGUAACGGCCCACCAAGGCGACGAUCAGUAGCCGGCCUGAGAGGGUGGACGGCCACAUUGGGACUGAGACACGGCCCAAACUCCUACGGGAGGCAGCAGUGGGGGAUAUUGGACAAUGGGGGGAACCCUGAUCCAGCGACGCCGCGUGAGUGAAGAAGUAUUUCGGUAUGUAAAGCUCCGUCAGCAGGGAAGAAAGAAAUGACGGUACCUGACCAAGAAGCCCCGGCUAACUACGUGCCAGCAGCCGCGGUAAUACGUAGGGGGCAAGCGUUAUCCGGAAUUACUGGGUGUAAAGGGAGCGUAGACGGUUAAGUAAGUCUGGAGUGAAAGGCCGGGGCCCAACCCCGGGACUGCUCUGGAAACUAUUGAACUUGAGUGCAGGAGAGGUAAGCGGAAUUCCUAGUGUAGCGGUGAAAUGCGUAGAUAUUAGGAGGAACACCAGUGGCGAAGGCGGCUUACUGGACUGUAACUGACGUUGAGGCUCGAAAGCGUGGGGAGCAAACAGGAUUAGAUACCCUGGUAGUCCACGCCGUAAACGAUGAUUACUAGGUGUCGGUGGGUAUGGACCCAUCGGUGCCGCAGCAAACGCAGUAAGUAAUCCACCUGGGGA